Molecule: long non-coding RNA, 444 nt
Filed under: Setaria italica (foxtail millet)
Lineage: Eukaryota; Viridiplantae; Streptophyta; Magnoliopsida; Poales; Poaceae
Description: long non-coding RNA (SITA_LNC006855)
Source: RNAcentral
CCUAAUCUCCCUAUUCAAGCUUAAUCGAAGCCAAAUUAGCUAGGGUUGUCACAUCGGCCUUGACACACUCAGCCUUGUUGGAGAUUACCCUUCCACCUUGAUCAAGGGCGUCGGGGGCGGUAGCAUAGUGAGCCCACAUGUAGGCUGACUUGAGAGUUCUGCCGAACUGCUCCAUGCCAGGGAACUUUUCCUUGAUCAAAAGACCAAGGACACCGUUCACAUGGCAUGUGUGAUCACCCCCACCGACCUUCCUUCAACCCCUACCCAAGUGAUUAAGAUAAAUUAUUAGUUUCUAUUGUAAUUUUGAACAUAUCAAACGAAAAAUUAGUGAUAACAUCUAAAGUUACUUACCGAUCUCCAUCGGGUCGAAUCAGCGGGCGUCUUUCAGGAGGUAUUGGUCACCUCGGGAGGGUUGAGGGACCUCGCAACCACACACGUGACGAG